AGCAGCCGCGGUAAUUCCAGCUCCAAUAGCGUAUAUUAAAGUUGUUGCAGUUAAAAAGCUCGUAGUUGAAUUUCGGGGUUAGUAGGCUGGUCGUGCCACUGGUACGUACUGGUCUCACUGAUUCCUCCUUCCUGAUGAACUGUAAUGCCAUUAAUUUGGUGUUGCAGGGAAACUGGACUGUUACUUUGAAAAAAUUAGAGUGUUUAAAGCAAGCUAACGCUUGAAUACAUUAGCAUGGAAUAAUGAAAUAGGACGUUCGAUCCUAUUUUGUUGGUUUCUAGGAUUGACGUAAUGAUUAAUAGGGAUAGUUGGGGGCAUUAGUAUUCAAUUGUCAGAGGUGAAAUUCUUGGAUUUAUUGAAGACUAACUACUGCGAAAGCAUUUUGCCAAGGAUGUUUUCAUUAAUCAAGAACGAAAGUUAGGGGAUCGAAGACGAUCAGAUACCGUCGUAGUCUUAACCAUAAACUAUGCCGACUAGGGAUCGGAUGGUGUUAAUUUUUUAAUGACUCGUUUGGCACCUU
RNAcentral lists this ribosomal RNA (520 nucleotides) under uncultured Glomus. RNAcentral describes it as "SSU rRNA". It matches the Rfam family "Eukaryotic small subunit ribosomal RNA", at positions 569 to 1089 of the family's 1831-position model. Lineage: Eukaryota; Fungi; Glomeromycota; Glomeromycetes; Glomerales; Glomeraceae. The record is from RNAcentral.